UCUCCGUUGGUGAACCAGCGGAGGGAUCAUUACAGAGUUGCAAAACUCCCAAACCAUUGUGAACGUUACCUAUCCCGUUGCUUCGGCGGGCGGCCCGGGCCCCGCGCCCGGCGCCCCCCGGCCCCCCGUGGGCGCCCGCCGGAGGUAAACCAAACCCUUGAAUUGCAUGGCCUCUCUGAGUCUUCUGUACUGAUUAAGUCAAAACUUUCAACAACGGAUCUCUUGGUUCUG
RNAcentral lists this unclassified non-coding RNA (231 nucleotides) under plant metagenome. RNAcentral's name for it is "partial contains small subunit ribosomal RNA, internal transcribed spacer 1, and 5.8S ribosomal RNA". The record is from RNAcentral.